Molecule: ribosomal RNA, 2640 nt
Filed under: Acetobacter pasteurianus
Lineage: Bacteria; Pseudomonadati; Pseudomonadota; Alphaproteobacteria; Acetobacterales; Acetobacteraceae
Description: 23S ribosomal RNA
Rfam family: Bacterial large subunit ribosomal RNA
Source: RNAcentral
GUAUGAGAAGGGCAUUCGGUGGAUGCCUGGCACUAGGAGGCGACGAGGACGUAGCAGCUGCGAUAAGCUGUGGGAGCCGCAGCAGGCAUUGAUCCGCAAUUUCGAUGGGGCAACCCACCCAGCGAUGGGUAUCGUGAUCUGAAUACUAGGGUUACGAGGCGACCGGGGAACUGAAACAUCUCAGUACCUGGAGGAAAAGACAUCAAUUGAGAUUCGCUAGUAGUGGCGAGGACGCGGAACAGGCCAGUCAUUUUGAGAAAAGCGAACAGUCUGGAAGGGCUGACCAUAGUGGGUGACAGUCCCGUAUGUGUAGUGUUUUGGAAUGUUGAGUAGGGCGGGGCACGUGAACCUGUCUGACAUGGGGGGACCACCUCCAGCCUAAUACUCCUAGUGACGAUAGGAACAAGUACCGUGAGGAAAGGUGAAAAGCACCCCGACGAGGGGAGUGAAAGAGACCUGAAACCGGAUGCCUACAAGCGUCGGAGCCUCUUAUGGGGUGACGGCGUACCUUUUGUAUAUGGGUCAGCGAGUUUCUGUUUGCAGCGAGCUUAAGCCGUUAGGUGUAGGCGUAGCGAAGCGAGUCUGAAUAGGGCGCAUAGUUGCUGGCAGAAGACCCGAAACCGAGUGAUCUAGCCAUGGCCAGGCUGAAGGUGCGGUAACACGCACUGGAGGCCGAACCACGCCUGUUGAAAAAGUCGGGAUGAGCUGUGGCUAGGGUGAAAGGCCAAUCAAACUCGGAGAUAGCUGGUUCUCCGCGAAAUCUAUUGAGGUAGACCGUCAGGUGGUUACCCGGGGGUAGAGCACUGGAUGGGCUAGGGGGCCCAAAGCCUUACCAAACCCAACCAAACUCCGAAUACCCGAAGUAUAGCCUGGCAGACGACAGUGGGUGCUAAGGUCCAUUGUCGAGAGGGAAACAGCCAGACACCAGCUAGGCCCCAAUCGUGGCUAAGUGGGAAAGGAUGUGGGGAUUCCAUAACAACAGGAGGUUGGCUUAGAAGCAGCCAUCCUUUAAAGAAAGCGUAAUAGUCACUGGUCUAAUAGAAACCCUGCGCCGAAAUGUAACGGGGCUCAAGCCACGUGCCGAGCUGUGGGUGCAUAUCUAUGAUAUGCGCGGUAGCGGGCGUUCCGUAAGUCAGUGAAGGAGACGGGGUGACCCUCUCUGGAGAUAUCGGAAGUGCGAAUGCUGACAUGAGUAGCGACAACAGUGCGAGAAACACUGUCGCCGAAAGUCCAGGGUUCCUGCGCAGGUUAAUCCACGCAGGUUAGUCGGCCCCUAAGGCGAGGGCGAGAGCCGUAGUCGAUGGGAAACAGGUGAAUAUUCCUGUACCUGCCAGAAGUGACGAAUGCGAUAUGUUGUCAGGUCUUAACGGAUUGAUCUGGCUUUUGGAGCAUUCCAGGAAAUAGCUCUGGCGUAUAGACCGUACCCGAAACCGACACAGGUGGACUGGUAGAGAAUACCAGGCGCUUGAGAGACGAUGCUGAAGGAACUAGGCAAAUUGCUCGUGUAACUUCGGGAUAAGCGAGACCCGUUGGUGGGAACCAUUGGCGGGUGCACAGACCAGGGGUAGCGAUGUUUAUUAAAACACAGACUCUGCGAAGUCGAAAGACGACGUAUAGGGUCUGACGCCUGCCCGGUGCGGAAGGUUAGAGGAGUGUGAGAGCACUGAAUUGAAGCCCCGGUAAACGGCGGCCGUAACUAUAACGGUCCUAAGGUAGCGAAAUUCCUUGUGGUAAGUUCCGACCUGCACGAAUGGCGUAACGACUUCCCGCUGUCUCCAGCAUCGGCUCAGCGAAAUUGAAUUCCCCGUGAAGAUGCGGGGUAUCCGGUCAGACGGAAAGACCCUAUGAACUUUACUGCAGCUUUACAUGGCAUCAGACAUUCUGUGUAGGAUAGGUGGGAGGCUUUGAAGCAGGGGCGCCAGUUCCUGUGGAGCCAUCCUUGAAAUACCACCCUGAAUUUUUCUGAUGUCUACCGUGGUCAGUUAGCUGAUCCGGACCUGUAUGGUGGGCAGUUUGACUGGGGCGGUCGCUCCCAAAGUGUAACGGAGGCGCGCGAUGGUGGCUCAGGCCGGUCGGAAACCGGCUGUUGAGUGCAAUGGCAUAAGCCGCCUGACUGCGAGAGUGACAGCUCGAGCAGAGACGAAAGUCGGCCAUAGUGAUCCGGUGGUCCCGCGUGGAAGGCCAUCGCUCAACGGAUAAAAGGUACUCUAGGGAUAACAGGCUGAUUCCCCAAGAGUCCACAUCGACGGGGAGGUUUGGCACUCGAUGUCGGCUCAUCACAUCCUGGGGCUGGAGCAGGUCCCAAGGGUUCGGCUGUUCGCCGAUUAAAGUGGUACGUGAGCUGGGUUUAGAACGUCGUGAGACAGUUCGGUCCUAUCUGCCGUGGAUGUUGGAGACUUGAGGGAUUUGUCCCUAGUACGAGAGGACCGGGAUGACAUACCUCUGGUGCACCGGUUGUCGCGCCAGCGGCACCGCGGGUAGCUAAGUAUGGAAGGAUAACGCUGAAAGCAUCUAAGCGGGAAACCCACCUCAAAACUAGGUCUCCCUGAGGGUCGUGGUAGACCACCACGUUAAUAGGCCAGGUGUGAAAGCGCGGUAACGCGUGCAGCUAACUGGUCCUAAUCACCAAUAGGCUCACUC